AAUUAAAGGUGAAUAUCUGAGAAAUACUGAUUCUUUAAGUGGGGAAAUGUCCUGUGUUACUUAUGAAUACAUAGAGGGCCUCACCAUAUUUUGUUCAAGUUAUUACUUGAGAAACGGUAUUUUCUAACAGAGAAUGAUAGCCGAAUAUGUGGCCUCCAAUAAAUAGAUGAGGGACAUCAUUGUGGACUGUUUAGUGAGGUAUAAUUAUCAUGUGAAUAGCAGUGAACUGAUAACUAAUGAUCAGGUAUUUAGGAGUCAAAAUUACAAUGUCUGGAUAGUGUAAAAUAAGGUUCUAAAAGUGAAAUGUCAAAGAGCUAAUGCCUAGGGCUGGGUUUAGUGACAUCACAAUGUAAUCAUUUCCUGGAGGGUUCCUUCUCCAUUCCUCAGGGGCCACAUCUUCUCAUUUGACAGAAAAAGCUGGACAUUGAGUUGUAAACUCUCUCUGAGAGAAGCAGAAACUGAGGCUCACUGUAAGCAGGCAAGAGAGACUGCCUUGGGAAGUUGAUUCUUCACCUGCACACAGAAUAUCUGCACUUAUUUUCUGUGUUGCAAUGUUCUCCUAGGAAGUACUUGGGGAUCCAUUGAUAAGAACACUGAAACACAGAAGGUUAAAGAACUUCUCUAAUAUCCAGACCAUCUGUUUCUACUGCUCUGCUAAGCUGCUGUAUGAUAAGCCAUAGUCAUUCUGGUGUUAUCCUCCAAUGGUGAUGAGGUAAUUAACAAAACGCAUGAUACAAACUGUAUAUUCAUGCCAUGUUUACAUUCAACCCUCUUGCUCACUUUAGAAUUGGUACCUGAAAUGUAUUCUGAAUCUACCUGAUUCUCACCAAUUCUUCUUCCAACUUGCUAGACUAUUCCAGAUCAUCUCUUGACUGAAAUUCUGUAGGAACUUCUAACUAGUUGCCCUGACUCUCCUCUUACUCUUUUGCAAUGUAUUUUCCACAUAGCAGCCUGAGUCAUCUUUGGGAAAAUGUAAAUCUGAUCAUGUUCCUUCCCUAUUGGAAACCGUAGUGCUUUCUUUCUUAUUUUAAAUAACAUGCAAACUCUUUAUUUCAGCCUGUAGGGCCUCACAUGACCUGAUUCUUGCCUACCACUUUGAUUCCAUCAAGAACCACUCUCCACUUCCCAAGUGCCAGUAUAUAGUUUUCUUCCUCCUCAGAUAACAUCCCUGGCUGUUUCCUGCCUUAGGGUCCUUAUAAUACUGACUCAUUAUAGUACUCAUAGUCCGAACAACCCCCAAUUGAAUGUAAUUCUUAGCAUUUACACUAUUUGACAUUUUUUGCUUUGUUUAUUUAUUUAUUUAUUUGUUUAUUUAUUUAUUUAUUUAUUUAUUUAUUUAUUUAUUUAUUGUCUCUCUAGUACAUUGAAGCUUUAAGGGAGGAGGGACAUUGUCUGCUUGAUCAGUGUUAACCUUCUUGUUUCCAUUGUCUAGAAUACCACCCACAUGUAGUAGGCACUGUGUCAAUAUCUGUUGAACAUGUGAAUGAAUCUGUAAAUGAAUACAUAAAAUUCAGAGACUAGAUACAACCAUAUGAUCUCAUUUGUUCCUUAUGAAGAAAAAAUCCAUUAUUAUUCAUAUUCAGAGUUUGAGGCUUAAUAUGAACACAGAAUUACUAAACAUUGUAGAUAAGCACAAACAUUUCUAAAUGGUUUAAAAUGGCCAAUGAUAAUUCUAUUUCUAUUCUCCUAGGCAUGUGUUAACUAUUUUAAAUGCAAAAUGGUUAAAAAUGCCAAGAAACGUGAAUGAGUUGUCUGUGUGGUACACAUGUUGAAAAAGAGAGAGAGAACGAAGGACUUUUUGUUUAGUGAGAGAUAAUAAAACGUACUUUUCUUUGUACUUUUGAAGUAAUUUGAAGACUUUACGAGGGAAAUGUUGAAUAUAUAUGACAUAAAGCUUUAAACCAACUUUAAUAACCAGACUCUUAAAUCGUGCCUUCAUUUCCACUGUGUACAUAACUGUAUAUACUUUUUAAUAUACAUUUUUGGUCAUUCUCGGGAAAAAUGGUUAGUCUAUGAUGAUAAUAGAUCAGUCAGGAUAUAAUCAUUUACACAUUUUCAAUGUGCUCAGCCCUGAGCACACACAACACACUCAACACACAAUUAUUCUCGAAUGCCCCCUGUGUGCCAAACAGUGUGGAAAAUUCAGAGAAAUUAAAAAUGUAUUCCAUGUCCCCAGUGAGCUUCUGGUAUGAAACAGAUGAGAAGCAUAAUCUUUAUAAGCAAAGUAGCAAAUUAUAUAAAACAAGAUGCAAUUAAAAUUUCAAUAGUAGUUAAUGGCAGAAGUACAAGGAGACAAAUACAGGGUUCAUAGGAAACAUUAUUAAAACAACAAAAGGAAUGGUAUGACCCAAAGAAAAAGAAAGGAAAUGAAUUCACCUCAUCCAGGUAAAUCAUGUGGGGAACUCCAAACUAGAAAACAAGUAUGCAUUUGUCUGUGUGUGUGUGUGUGUGUGUGUGUGUGUGUACAUGUGUGUGUGUGCAUGUGUGUUAAGUACUUUGCCACCAUGCACUAUGCAGGUAGGAAACAGAAAAUCCAUAUAACUGAUUACUGUGUCCUAAUUCUCUAUUUAACUGUUUUUUUUUCCAUUUUGGUUUAUACAAUGUAGAUCUCACCUCACAUAUACAAGUUACCUCCUAGAAAUAAGGGCACGUAAGCUUAAUCAUGUGGAGGUGAAUUUUCAAUACUGUGACGAAGUAACUUAGAUCUUUCCCCAACUCCACAGCUGCAACAUCUCAUGCCAAUUCUUAGAAGUUCUGAUUUUCAUAAGCAAAGGAUUACUAUUAGUUUCUCCCUACCACCCACCAUAUCGAUCGCCAUCCAAUUCACAGAAGGGAAGAAAUCAUUCUUUAUUCAGGAAAUGGAAAAAGUUUGUUCAUUUCAUAUAAUGGCCAAUUUAAGUUAGAAAUCUUAUCCAUUUCCUACUUUAGUUACCUGUUUCACAAGCUCAGCAUUUCCCAAGAUGCCUAUUUUAUGAAGCCAGCAAGGAUAUUCAGAGAAAUUUUCCAUCACAUAUUUCAUAUCCUAGGAUUACCAAGCUCAUCAGAAAGACAAUACUGGAUUGAUUCCAAUUAUCAGGGAAAAUGAUAGUCAUGUAAAAGAUGAGUAGACACUUGAGGAUCACUUAUCAAUGUCUAAUUCAAAUUAUUGAACAUUGAUUCCAGGAAAUAAGAUAUUUAAAAUACAUAUACAUUGCUAGAUGAAUAAAAGAAACUAGACAGAUUAAAAAAUAACAAUGAGAACAAAACAAAUAGAUCUUAAUAAAUAUUUUUAAUUUAUACUAGUUAAACUUAUGUAUCUGUUAUAGCAAUGAUACUAUUGCUUGAAAGUUUACUGGAAUCACUUUUAUAAGACUGUAUUUGGAGUAGUUUAGAAAAUAAAGACAGAGGUCCUGUUUUUUUAAUCAAACCGUAUUUUU
Felis catus (domestic cat) is the source of this 3416-nucleotide long non-coding RNA. RefSeq lists it as uncharacterized. NCBI's taxonomy places the organism in Eukaryota, Metazoa, Chordata, Mammalia, Carnivora, Felidae. The transcript is spliced from 3 exons. The record is from RefSeq and is a predicted model, not a curated record.